This 2911-nucleotide ribosomal RNA is filed under the name Pseudomonas aeruginosa. RNAcentral's name for it is "bacterial LSU rRNA". It matches the Rfam family "Bacterial large subunit ribosomal RNA". The record is from RNAcentral. Lineage: Bacteria; Pseudomonadati; Pseudomonadota; Gammaproteobacteria; Pseudomonadales; Pseudomonadaceae.
GUUAUAUGGUCAAGUGAAGAAGCGCAUACGGUGGAUGCCUUGGCAGUCAGAGGCGAUGAAAGACGUGGUAGCCUGCGAAAAGCUUCGGGGAGUCGGCAAACAGACUUUGAUCCGGAGAUCUCUGAAUGGGGGAACCCACCUAGGAUAACCUAGGUAUCUUGUACUGAAUCCAUAGGUGCAAGAGGCGAACCAGGGGAACUGAAACAUCUAAGUACCCUGAGGAAAAGAAAUCAACCGAGAUUCCCUUAGUAGUGGCGAGCGAACGGGGAUUAGCCCUUAAGCUUCAUUGAUUUUAGCGGAACGCUCUGGAAAGUGCGGCCAUAGUGGGUGAUAGCCCCGUACGCGAAAGGAUCUUUGAAGUGAAAUCGAGUAGGACGGAGCACGAGAAACUUUGUCUGAACAUGGGGGGACCAUCCUCCAAGGCUAAAUACUACUGACUGACCGAUAGUGAACCAGUACCGUGAGGGAAAGGCGAAAAGAACCCCGGAGAGGGGAGUGAAAUAGAACCUGAAACCGUAUGCGUACAAGCAGUGGGAGCCUACUUGUUAGGUGACUGCGUACCUUUUGUAUAAUGGGUCAGCGACUUAUAUUCAGUGGCAAGCUUAACCGUAUAGGGUAGGCGUAGCGAAAGCGAGUCUUAAUAGGGCGUUUAGUCGCUGGGUAUAGACCCGAAACCGGGCGAUCUAUCCAUGAGCAGGUUGAAGGUUAGGUAACACUGACUGGAGGACCGAACCCACUCCCGUUGAAAAGGUAGGGGAUGACUUGUGGAUCGGAGUGAAAGGCUAAUCAAGCUCGGAGAUAGCUGGUUCUCCUCGAAAGCUAUUUAGGUAGCGCCUCAUGUAUCACUCUGGGGGGUAGAGCACUGUUUCGGCUAGGGGUCAUCCCGACUUACCAAACCGAUGCAAACUCCGAAUACCCAGAAGUGCCGAGCAUGGGAGACACACGGCGGGUGCUAACGUCCGUCGUGAAAAGGGAAACAACCCAGACCGCCAGCUAAGGUCCCAAAGUUGUGGUUAAGUGGUAAACGAUGUGGGAAGGCUUAGACAGCUAGGAGGUUGGCUUAGAAGCAGCCACCCUUUAAAGAAAGCGUAAUAGCUCACUAGUCGAGUCGGCCUGCGCGGAAGAUGUAACGGGGCUCAAACCACACACCGAAGCUGCGGGUGUCACGUAAGUGACGCGGUAGAGGAGCGUUCUGUAAGCCUGUGAAGGUGAGUUGAGAAGCUUGCUGGAGGUAUCAGAAGUGCGAAUGCUGACAUGAGUAACGACAAUGGGUGUGAAAAACACCCACGCCGAAAGACCAAGGGUUCCUGCGCAACGUUAAUCGACGCAGGGUUAGUCGGUUCCUAAGGCGAGGCUGAAAAGCGUAGUCGAUGGGAAACAGGUUAAUAUUCCUGUACUUCUGGUUACUGCGAUGGAGGGACGGAGAAGGCUAGGCCAGCUUGGCGUUGGUUGUCCAAGUUUAAGGUGGUAGGCUGAAAUCUUAGGUAAAUCCGGGGUUUCAAGGCCGAGAGCUGAUGACGAGUCGUCUUUUAGAUGACGAAGUGGUUGAUGCCAUGCUUCCAAGAAAAGCUUCUAAGCUUCAGGUAACCAGGAACCGUACCCCAAACCGACACAGGUGGUCGGGUAGAGAAUACCAAGGCGCUUGAGAGAACUCGGGUGAAGGAACUAGGCAAAAUGGCACCGUAACUUCGGGAGAAGGUGCGCCGGCUAGGGUGAAGGAUUUACUCCGUAAGCUCUGGCUGGUCGAAGAUACCAGGCCGCUGCGACUGUUUAUUAAAAACACAGCACUCUGCAAACACGAAAGUGGACGUAUAGGGUGUGACGCCUGCCCGGUGCCGGAAGGUUAAUUGAUGGGGUUAGCGCAAGCGAAGCUCUUGAUCGAAGCCCCGGUAAACGGCGGCCGUAACUAUAACGGUCCUAAGGUAGCGAAAUUCCUUGUCGGGUAAGUUCCGACCUGCACGAAUGGCGUAACGAUGGCGGCGCUGUCUCCACCCGAGACUCAGUGAAAUUGAAAUCGCUGUGAAGAUGCAGUGUAUCCGCGGCUAGACGGAAAGACCCCGUGAACCUUUACUGUAGCUUUGCACUGGACUUUGAGCCUGCUUGUGUAGGAUAGGUGGGAGGCUUUGAAGCGUGGACGCCAGUUCGCGUGGAGCCAUCCUUGAAAUACCACCCUGGCAUGCUUGAGGUUCUAACUCUGGUCCGUGAUCCGGAUCGAGGACAGUGUAUGGUGGGCAGUUUGACUGGGGCGGUCUCCUCCUAAAGAGUAACGGAGGAGUACGAAGGUGCGCUCAGACCGGUCGGAAAUCGGUCGCAGAGUAUAAAGGCAAAAGCGCGCUUGACUGCGAGACAGACACGUCGAGCAGGUACGAAAGUAGGUCUUAGUGAUCCGGUGGUUCUGUAUGGAAGGGCCAUCGCUCAACGGAUAAAAGGUACUCCGGGGAUAACAGGCUGAUACCGCCCAAGAGUUCAUAUCGACGGCGGUGUUUGGCACCUCGAUGUCGGCUCAUCACAUCCUGGGGCUGAAGCCGGUCCCAAGGGUAUGGCUGUUCGCCAUUUAAAGUGGUACGCGAGCUGGGUUUAGAACGUCGUGAGACAGUUCGGUCCCUAUCUGCCGUGGACGUUUGAGAUUUGAGAGGGGCUGCUCCUAGUACGAGAGGACCGGAGUGGACGAACCUCUGGUGUUCCGGUUGUCACGCCAGUGGCAUUGCCGGGUAGCUAUGUUCGGAAAAGAUAACCGCUGAAAGCAUCUAAGCGGGAAACUUGCCUCAAGAUGAGAUCUCACUGGGAACUUGAUUCCCCUGAAGGGCCGUCGAAGACUACGACGUUGAUAGGCUGGGUGUGUAAGCGUUGUGAGGCGUUGAGCUAACCAGUACUAAUUGCCCGUGAGGCUUGACCAUAUAACACCCAAACA